Molecule: ribosomal RNA, 292 nt
Filed under: uncultured bacterium
Lineage: Bacteria
Description: partial 16S ribosomal RNA
Rfam family: Bacterial small subunit ribosomal RNA
Source: RNAcentral
GUGUCAGCAGCCGCGGUAAUACGUAGGUGGCGAGCGUUAUCCGGAUUUACUGGGCGUAAAGCGCGCGCAGGCGGCUGGCCAAGUCUGAUGUGAAAUCUUCCGGCUCAACUGGAAAAUGGCAUUAGAAACUGGCCGGCUGGAAGGUGGGAGAGGGCAGCGGAAUUCCCGGUGUAGUGGUGGAAUGCGUAGAUAUCGGGAGGAACACCAGUGGCGAAAGCGGCUGCCUGGCCCACUCUUGACGCUGAGGCGCGAAAGCUAGGGGAGCAAACGGGAUUAGAAACCCCCGUAGUCC